This 423-nucleotide ribosomal RNA is filed under the name uncultured bacterium. Its description in RNAcentral is "partial 16S ribosomal RNA". It matches the Rfam family "Bacterial small subunit ribosomal RNA", at positions 359 to 773 of the family's 1533-position model. The record is from RNAcentral.
GAAUAUUGGACAAAGGGGGGAACCCUGAUCCAGCCAUGCCGCGUGUGUGAAGAAGGCCUUUUGGUUGUUAAGCCCUUUAAGCGAGGAGGAUGCUACUCUUGUUAAUCCCUAGAGAUAGUUGACGGUACUCGCAGAAUAAGCCACGGCUAACUCUGUCCCAGCAGCCGCGGUAAUACAGAGGGUGCAGGCGUUAAUCGGAAUUACUGGGCGUAAAGCGCGCGUAGGUGGCCAAUUAAGUCAAAUGUGAAAUCCCCGAGCUUAACUUGGGAAUUGCAUUCGAUACUGGUUGGCUAGAGUAUGGGAGAGGAUGGUAGAAUUCCAGGUGUAGCGGUGAAAUGCGUAGAGAUCUGGAGGAAUACCGAUGGCGAAGGCAGCCAUCUGGCCUAAUACUGACACUGAGGUGCGAAAGCAUGGGGAGCAAAC